Molecule: non-coding RNA, 46 nt
Filed under: Schistosoma curassoni
Lineage: Eukaryota; Metazoa; Platyhelminthes; Trematoda; Strigeidida; Schistosomatidae
Source: RNAcentral
GCACCGCCGAAGAGUCCCUUAAUAGGACGAAACGGCCGUCCAGUGC